AUGUUUGCAUGUUCUAUGGAAGUGGGGUCGCCAAGUGAGAGAUUGCCGUAUGCACCAAGAAAGUCGCACCUUGUUACAGGCCUCCAAUGGGUGGCAGAGAAGGAGCAAGAUGCAAAAGCUUUCUACUCUAUGUUCAGAAUGAGAAGGUCAGUUUUUUACUCAUUGCAUGAAUUAUUGGUUGAGAAGUACGGGCUUAAGUCAACUUGCAACAUAUCAUCGAAAGAAGCAUUGGCACAGUUUUUAUGGACUUUGGGGACGUGCCAAACCACUGAUAAUGUAGCAGAUCGGUUUGGACAUAGUCGUUCUGUCAUCAACAAAAAAUUUCAUGAGGUUUUGGAGUGUGUGGACCGCAUGGCUGGUGAUUUCAUUAGGCCUAUUGAUCCAUCUUUCUCUGAACCGCACCCCAUACUAAGAAAAACAAAGUUCUGGCCUCAUUUCAAAAAUGCUAUUGGAGCCAUAGAUGGAACACACAUUGAAGUGAUUGUGCCUAAGGAGUUGGAGCCACAACACAGGAAUAGGAAAGGGGUUACAAGUGAAAAUGUCAUGACAGUCUGUGAUUUCGAUAUGAGGUUCACUUUUGUUGUUCCUGGAUGGCCCGGAUCUGUUCAUGACACACGUGUAUGGAGCGAUGCUAUAAUGAAAUGA
This 645-nucleotide ribosomal RNA is filed under the name Triticum aestivum (bread wheat). Its description in RNAcentral is "partial small subunit ribosomal RNA". The record is from RNAcentral. Lineage: Eukaryota; Viridiplantae; Streptophyta; Magnoliopsida; Poales; Poaceae.